Molecule: non-coding RNA, 7031 nt
Organism: Oncorhynchus mykiss (rainbow trout)
Lineage: Eukaryota; Metazoa; Chordata; Actinopteri; Salmoniformes; Salmonidae
Source: RefSeq, a predicted model, not a curated record
CUAUGGGCUACAGCACAAGUAGAAGAAAAAAAUCCAGCUAAAAGCUUUUCCGGUCUGCUAGCCUUAAUUUCCUCUAAAGACGUCUCUCGCAGAGAGGAGAGGAGGACGCACACAGGCAGACUGACAGACCAACGGUUGUAAUUGCACCGGUGGUCACCGAGAAGACUAAUCUUCACUCUUAUCUUGUACUGAAGGAUAUGGUUUCUUUAGGAGAGGCAUGAACCGCGGAGCAGUGCUUCUCGGCGGCCUGUGCCGGGAAAUGUGUCCGCCGUGGGUGUGAGGGAGAGCGGAAUGGUCUGCCUGGACGGAACGCACUGGUCUCGCACGGCCGCUCCAGUCUCCGGUAUCCACGCGCUCCCGACUGCGCCAAUCGAGCGCCGCUCGGUCCAUAGCGGUGUGAUUUGUUUCACGGACGGCCUCAAACACAUUGGGCAGCCCACUUGUCUUUUAUCGUUACAUAAUUGAAACUGAAUGUAUGUGUCGCUCCCGUAACACGGACUGAUUCUCAGGCAGGGAGGCAGAGAUGUGUGUGUGACACUGUGUGUGUGCGCCUGUGCUGGAUUCGGGGGCAGGGCUGUCUGUCUGUCUGUAACCGAUCUACCCGCCGAGUGGACCGGACUGGACUGUGCAUUAAUUGUACUAGUGCAUAAAUUAACCACGGGCCAGCCCAACGUGAACCCUGGGUGGAAACCCGAGUCCAACGGGCAAUGAGGGGAACAGCUUUGCCUCUCUUUACUUCUCUGGCCCUCGGUCUGAUCGUUUUGUGUUUCUGCCAGAAGCAUCUGGAAAGGAUAACACGGGGAUCCAUCCACUCCCCCAGAAAGUAGACUGGAGAAUAAAUCACAUCCUGGAUGGAGGAGCAUCCUUACUUCUAGAAAUGAUGGAUACAGUUGUCUCGAAUUCCAGCUUCCUGCUCAUGGCCUACUGCUAAUUUUAGAGGUGUAAAUUAUGGGAUGGAAAACUGGGUUUUAUUCUUUAUAAUAAUAACCUACAACUGGAAGUGUUUGUUAAAGUUAUUACACUGCUAUUAAUUACUUCCAUUGUUGAUUAGUUAUUACUGUUUUUCAUUUCUCUCAUUUUGCCAUUGGAUUGGCAAUGACCUAUUCACCCUGGCCACCAAUGCAUGUAACUAAGGAUAACUGGAUAACUGUGGUCCUCGCCCUCCAUCGAUUUUAGGCCGAGUUGAAGGAAUACAACAUCCUUUUCCCUAACUCUGAAACCACAACAAGUUGAAAUCACUAAGCCUCUGUGACAUGUCCUUGUAUCCAGGCAACGGAAUGUGACUGUAACAACCUUCUCCCUUUCUCUAACUUCUAAACUCUGUUGAAACUACACAUGCAGUGAAGAUGUGUGCAGCCAGGUUCAGCAGCAGCAGUAGCGUCAACGGGGACCGGGAUGAGACCACUACUAAUGGACCCGGUACGGGCCCGGCCACCACAUCCCGCAUGCUGGACUGGUCCGAGGAGGGCACCCGCAUCCUCCACAGCCUCGAGAUUGGAACGGUCAUGACCGUGUUCUACCAGAAGAAGUCCCAGCGACCGGAGAGGAGGACCUUCCAGAUACGACAGGACACUAGACAGAUAGCGUGGAGCCGCAACCCUGACAAGAUAGAGGGAGAGAUUGAUAUCAGGGAGAUCAGGGAGCUGCGGUUGGGUAAAGGUUCCCGGGACUUUGAGCGUUAUCCAGAGGAGGCUCGUAAAUUAGACUCCGCCCACUGCUUCAUCGUGCUCUACGGACUGGAGUUCCGCCUCAAAACACUCAGUGUGGCCGCCUUCAGUGAGGAGGAGGUCAAUAUGUGGAUCACUGGAAUCAACUGGCUGAUGAUGGAUACUCAGAGAGCCUCAGCACCACAACAGAUAGACCGGUGGCUGAGGAGACAAUUUGAGGUGAUGGACAGGAAUCGUGAGGGAAGUAUCACAGUAAAGGAUGUGAAGGCCCUGUUACCUCAUAUCAACUACAGAGUCCCCAACAUGCGCUUCCUCAAAGACAAGCUACAGGAAGUGGAAGCCAGGUGUGAUCUCUCCUUCCCUCACUUUGCUCAGCUCUACAGAACAUUGAUGUUCGACGCACAGAGGAGUAUCAUUGAGCAGCUGGAGCUCUCUUUCCCCCUCCGGAAUGUGGACAGACCAGAGCUGUGUCAGAUCUCUUUUUACGACUUCCAGAAGUUUCUACAGCUGGAUCAGAAGGAGUCAUGGGCGUCGGACCUGAGCCGCGUCAGAGAGUUCCUAACGGGCUACUUGAGGGGUGGAGCACAGACCGAACCUAUGCUACAGCUAGAUGAGUUCCUGACGUUCCUGUACUCCAAGGAGAACUCAUUGUGUGACCCUCGACCUGCUGUUGUUGUCUCUGACGACAUGAAGAGACCCCUGUCUCAGUACUGGAUUUCCUCAUCACACAACACGUAUCUGACAGGUGAUCAGUUCUCCAGUGAGUCAUCUCUAGAGGCCUACGCUCGUUGCCUGAGGAUGGGCUGUCGCUGCAUAGAACUUGAUUGCUGGGAUGGGCCUGAUGACCUGCCAAUCAUCUACCAUGGCCACACUCUCACCUCCAAGAUCAAAUUCCUGGAUGUGCUGCACACCAUCAAAGAGCAUGCCUUUGUCACUUCAGAGUACCCAGUGAUUCUGUCCAUUGAGGACCACUGUAGUGUGGUCCAACAAAGGAACAUGGCUACUCACUUUAAGAAGGUGUUUGGAGAUCUGCUGCUGACCAAACCAGUGGACCUGAAUGCAGAUGAGCUGCCCUCGCCCUACCAGCUACGCAGGAAGAUACUCAUCAAGCACAAGAAACUGGUGGAGGGCUCUUUGUAUGAAGAGGUGACGUCAGCCAGCUACUCUGAGGCUGACAUCAGUAACUCCCUCAGGAAUGGCAUUCUCUACCUGGAAGACCCCAUAGACCACACAUGGACUCCCCACUACUUUGUUCUGAGCAGUAAUAAGAUCUACUACUCGGAGGAGACUUCUCACUACCAGACUGCCGAGGAAGAGGAGGAGGAGGAGGAAGAGGAGGGUGUGAGGGGGAAAGAGGAGUGUAACAACAAUGAGCAGCACUGUGCAGAGCGCUGGUUCCAUGGGAAGCUGGGAGGGGGGCGGGAUGGGAGACAGGUUGCUGAGAAACUGCUGCAGGAGUACUGUGAGGGCGGGGGCAAGGAUGGGACCUUCCUGGUCCGAGAGAGUGAGACCUUCGUAGGAGACUACACUCUCUCCUUUUGGCGAUCUGGGCGUGUGCAGCACUGUAGGAUCCAUUCCCGCCAGGAGUCUGGCUCCACCCGCUACUACCUGACUGACAACUUGGUGUUUGACAGCCUGUAUAGACUCAUCUGCCACUACAGAGACACGCCCCUACGCUGCAACGAGUUUGAGAUGAGGCUGGGCAGCCCUGUACCACAGCCCAACGCACACGAGAGCAGAGAGUGGUUCCACUCCAGUCUUUCUCGUGUCCAGGCUGAACACAUGUUGAUGAGGGUACCCAGAGACGGGGCCUACCUGCUCCGCAAACGCAGCGAUAUCAACUCCUACGCUAUCUCCUUCAGGGCGGAGGGUAAGAUCAAACACUGUCGUAUCCAGCAGGAGGGCCGUAUGUUCAUGUUGGGUAGCUCAGCAGAGUUCGAGAGUCUGGUUGACUUGGUCAGCUACUAUGAGAAACACCCCCUGUACCGCAAAAUGAGGCUGCGCUACCCCAUCAACGAAGACACACUGGACCGCAUGGGCACCACGGAGCUAGACUAUGGAGCGUUGUAUGAAGUCAGGACCCCACAUUUCUACGUAGAGGCUAACAAGAUGCCCACGGCUCGGUGUACGGUCAAGGCCCUGUAUGAUUACAGAGCCCAGAGGGACGAUGAGCUGUGUUUCCCCAAACAGGCCCUCAUCCUCAGCGUGGACAAGCAGGAAGGAGGCUGGUGGCGAGGUGAUUACGGAGGGAAGAAGCAGCUGUGGUUUCCUGCCAACUACGUAGAAGAAGUCCCCAACUCACCCGCCCGCGAGACAGGAGACGAGGCAUCUACAGAGAACAGUCCACUAGGAACAUUUCUCAAGGGCUUCAUCGAUGUGCCCACCUGCCACGUAGUGGUUCAGAAGGAUGGGAAGAGUUCCAGGCCAUAUGUGUUCACCGUCCACUCCCAGCAGAUGUCAAUUCACCCUGGCCAGGCACUGGACAUUGCUUCAGACACCCUGGAGGACCUGACCGGUUGGGUGGGGAAGAUCAGAGAGGCCACACAGAACGCAGACGCACGGAUGCAGGAAGAGAAGCAGAUGGAGAGGAGGAAGAAAAUCGCGCUGGAGCUCUCUGAGCUGGUGGUCUACUGUAGACCUGUCCCCUUCAACGAAGAGAAGAUCGGGACUGAGCGGGCAUGUUUCCGGGAUAUGUCAUCAUUCCCAGAGACCAAGGCAGAGAAGUUUGCCACGCGGGCAAGAGGGAAGCGCUUCCUGCAGUAUAACCGUCGCCAGCUCUCCAGGGUCUACCCCAGAGGACAGAGACUAGACUCCUCUAACUACGACCCUUUACCCAUGUGGCUGUGUGGAUCCCAGCUGGUUGCUCUCAACUUCCAGACUCCUGACAAGCCCAUGCAGUUGAACCAGGCUCUAUUCAUGCUGGGUGGGGGGAGUGGCUUCGUGCCCCAGCCUGACAUCAUGAGGGAUGACACCUUUGACCCCUUUGACAAGGAGACCCUCCACCUGGAGCCAAUCACCAUCCAGCUACAGGUACUGGGAGCUCGUCACCUCCCUAAGAAUGGCCGCAGUAUAGUGUGCCCCUUUGUAGAGGUUGAGGUGUGUGGGGCCGACUACGACUGCAGCAAGAGCAAGACCGACGUCGUGGCUGACAAUGGGUUGAACCCAGUGUGGGUUCAGAGGCAGUUUGUGUUUGACGUCCAUAAUCCGUCCUUCUCCUUCCUGCGUUUCUUGGUCUAUGAGGAGGACAUGUUUUCUGACCCCAACUUCCUGGCUCAGGCAAUCUACCCUGUCCGCUCACUAAGAACAGGCUACAGGAGUGUUCCCCUAAAGAACAGUUACAGUGAAGAGUUGGAGCUGGCUUCUCUGCUGGUUCACAUUGAGAUUGUCAACGCCAAGGAGGAAGAUGAUCAGAACCUGUACUCGUCCAUCCAAAGGCUGAGAGACCGCACCAGUGAGCUGUCCAAUCAGGUGUCAGUUCUGGAGAGGGCGGGGUCAGGAGGUGACCACAGCUAUCAGCAGAGUCUGGAGGAACUGAGAGCAGCACAAGAUCAGCUCAGUGAACUAGUGGAGACACGCAACCACAGGCUGAUUGAGAAGAAGAGGAGGGAGAAGUUGAGGCAGCAAGUGGGGGCCAAGCGGAACUAAAAUGCCCAUCUGACCACCAACCAACCAGUCCCCCUCUACUGCUGCACACUGAUGAUCUUACACCCAUGGAAAGACAAUUCAAUCUACCAAUAACUGGAUUACCCCUGCUAUAAGUGUGCAUAGACUACACAGAGAUGCACAGUGUGUUGGAUAAAAAGAGACAAAAAAAAAAAACACUCAUCUCAUGGAACAAAAACCUUCAGAAAUGGAACAUAGAAUGAGAAAAGGGUUAUAAAAUAAUUCAGUGUUCUGAACAGCGAAGUCAGAUAAACUGAACUGACCUGAGAGUAGCAGUGUUCUAAUCUAUAAGGAGAAUACACAGGAUAUGUAUCCCAAGUGGCACCCGAUUCCAUAUAUAGUGCACUACCUUUGACCAGGGCCCAUAGGGGUGUGGUGCACUACUGUAGAUAGGGAAUAGGGUGCCAUUUGGGAUACAACCAUAGCCUCUAAGAGAGUAAGGUAGUGUCAGUGAGUCAACCAUUAGUAUAGGCAUAAUCCAGACUCUAAAUCUCUCCAUGCUAGAACUGGUCUCACAACUGAAAACUGGAAUAAUAUUAUUUUAUUGACCACAGAUGAGCUAUGAGAGUGAGAAUCUACUAUCUUGGCCGUGGCACAAAAAUGGCUAAAGAGAGAAAAUGGGAACCACUACUCAUGGACUGACUUUGAAAGGGCUUUUAAAUGGGAGCAGGACCAAGUCUUUUCCUCAAAGACUAAAGUCUUCUUCUCCUAUCCUGGGGCAGCAGACUGACUAACAGCAGGGACUGGAGUCUAAUGCCCUCUAGUGGUAGGGAUGUGGUGUUGUUUCCAAAAAUAGACCCCUCUUCCUUUACCUGGGAGAGCAUGAACAGGACUUUUAUUACUGUGUUCAUUAGAGACGUACUAACACUGCAUGUCAUAUUGUCAUGUAUUUUUAAAGGGCUUUUCAGUAUACUAUAAUAUACUAAAAUAUACUAUAAUAUAAUACACUACCGUUUAAGGAGCAAGAGGAGAAGCAGAGCAGUAGAAAGAGAGAGGGGGGAGGGAGGGAGAGAGAGAGAGAGAGAGAGAGAGAGGGGGUAGAAAGAGAGAGUGUACCAGAAAUAUAAGUAAUCUCUCACCACAGGACUCUGUCUUGAACCUAUAGGUUUUCUUCAGGUCUGUGUUUCCUGGCUAUGCUGAUCGGAUCAGAGAAACAUGGUGUGGGUUUCAAAUGUCACCCCGUUCUCUAUAUAGUGCACACCUUUUGACCAGAGCCCCUAAUCAAAAGUAGUGCACUGGGGAAUAGGGUGCCAUUUGGGAUGCAACAAUGGCAAACAAGGGCUAUCUAUAACUUUGACCUUACUGCAACUUGUCACAUUUACAGAUCCUACCCACCAAGUUGUUGUUAAAGGAAAAAUCCACUCAAAAACUACACUGAACACAAAUAUAAAAGCAACAUGCAACAAUUUCAAAGAUUUUACUGAGUUACAGUUCAUAUAAGGAAUUCUGUCAAUUGAAAUAAAUAAAUGAGGCCCUAAUCUAUGGAUUUCACAUGACUGGGCAGGAGUGCAGCCAUGGGAGUGGCUGGGAGGGCAUAGGUCCACCUACUGUGGAGCCAGUCCCAGCCAUGGGCGGGGCUGGGAGGGCAUAGGUCCACCUACUGGGGAGCCAGUCCCAGCCAUGGGCGGGGCUGGGAGGGCAUAGGUCCACCUACUGGGGAGCCAGUCCCAGCCAUGGGCGGGGCUGGGAGGGCAUAGGUCC